AUUGAACGCUAGCGGGAUGCCUUACACAUGCAAGUCGAACGGAGUGGCGAACGGGUGCGUAAUGUAUCGGAACGUGCCCAGUAGCGGGGGAUAACUACGCGAAAGCGUAGCUAAUACCGCAUACUAUUGGAGCAGCCGAUAUCGGAUUAGCUAGUUGGUGGGGUACCGGCUCACCAAGGCGACGAUCCGUAGCUGGUUUGAGAGGACGACAAGCAACACGAGGACUGAUACACGGCCACGACUCCUACGCGAGGCAGCAGUGGGGAAUUAUGGACAAUGGGGGAAACCAUGAUCAAGACAUCCCGCGUGGGGGAUGAAGGCCUUCGGGUUGUAAAGCACUUUUGGCAGGAAAGCGGUACCUGCAGAAUAAGCACCGGCUAACUACGUGCCAGCAGCCGCGGUAAUAC
This 407-nucleotide ribosomal RNA is filed under the name uncultured bacterium. RNAcentral describes it as "partial 16S ribosomal RNA". It matches the Rfam family "Bacterial small subunit ribosomal RNA", at positions 30 to 526 of the family's 1533-position model. The record is from RNAcentral.